Molecule: ribosomal RNA, 339 nt
Filed under: uncultured bacterium
Lineage: Bacteria
Description: bacterial SSU rRNA
Rfam family: Bacterial small subunit ribosomal RNA
Source: RNAcentral
ACUCCUACGGGAGGCAGCAGUGGGGAAUAUUGCACAAUGGGCGCAAGCCUGAUGCAGCCAUGCCGCGUGUAUGAAGAAGGCCUUCGGGUUGUAAAGUACUUUCAGUCAGUGAGGAAGGUGGAUAUGUUAAUAGCAUAUUCAUUUGACGUUAGCUGCAGAGAAGCAACCGGCUAACUCCGUGCCAGCAGCCGCGGUAAUACGGAGGGUGCGAGCGUUAAUCGGAAUUACUGGGCGUAAAGCGCAUGCAGGUGGUUUGUUAAGUCAGAUGUGAAAGCCCGGGGCUCAACCUCGGAAUUGCAUUUGAAACUGGCAAACUAGAGUACUGUAGAGGGGGUAGAA